RNAcentral lists this long non-coding RNA (1011 nucleotides) under Strigops habroptila (Kakapo). RNAcentral's name for it is "lncRNA (ENSSHBG00005008612.1)". Lineage: Eukaryota; Metazoa; Chordata; Aves; Psittaciformes; Psittacidae. The record is from RNAcentral.
GAUGAGGCAAUGGGUUGCCUUGUCUUCCAUUUCACUAUAGCAGCUUACAGUGUACCACCACGACAAACACAAAACCAGGUUGAAAACAAGGGGCUCUGUGCUUGUAUGAGGAGAGUCCUAGUGAGGCACUGGAACGAAGUACUCGCUGAUUAUAGCUUGAGGAAAGGAUGUCUUGUCCCAGUUCAGUCCUAUUUGUUGUGUUCUGUGGAGAUGAGGUGACCUGAUCUCUUUUAAGGCUGAGGUGGGACAUAGAUGCAAGACUACACUGCAAAAGGGAUUCUAAUUUUUAUCCCAACCUAAUAUACUUCACAGGUGAGGUAUGUUACAUCCAUGACUAUAUGGUAUGCAGUCAGGAUAUACUUUUACAGUGUUAUUGCUGAAAUAAUGUUCUUUUUAUUUUAAGGUUAUAAAAUAACUGCGGUGGCCAGGUGUCAUGGUUUAACCCCAGGCAGCCACUCGCUAAACACCACGCAGCCGCUCGCUCACUACCCCCAUGUUGGGAUGAGGGAGAGAACUGAAGAGUAAAAGUGAGAAAACUCGUUUCUAAAGACAGUACAAUAGGUAAAGCAAAAGCCAUGCACACAAGCAAAGCAAAACAAGGAGUUCAUUCACCACUUCCCAUCACAGGCAGAUGUUCCGCCAUCUCCAGGAAAGCAGGGCUCCAUCACACAUAAUGGUUGUUUGGGAAGGCAAGUGCCAUACUUCCAAACAUUCCCCCUUUCCUCCUUCUUCCCCCCAGUUUUAUGUGCUGAGCGUGUCAUACGGUAUGGGACAUCCCUUGGGUCCGUUGGGGUCAGCUGUCCCAGCUGUGUCCCCUCCCAACUCCUUGUGCACCCCCAGCCUACUCACUGGUGGGGUGGUGUGAGGAGCAGAAAAGGCCUUGCCUCUGUGUAAGCACUGCUCAGCGAGAACUAAAACAUCCCUCUAUUAUCAACAGUUUACAGCACAGAUCCAAAACCUAGCCCCACACCAGCUACUGUGAAGAAAAUUAACUCUACCCCAGCCAAAACC